RNAcentral lists this ribosomal RNA (495 nucleotides) under uncultured bacterium. RNAcentral's name for it is "partial 16S ribosomal RNA". It matches the Rfam family "Bacterial small subunit ribosomal RNA", at positions 28 to 507 of the family's 1533-position model. The record is from RNAcentral.
GAUGAACGCUGGCGGCGUGCUUAACACAUGCAAGUCGAACGAAGCACCCCUCCUGAAGAUUGACACAGCUUGCUGUAGAUUGAUUCAUUUGAGGUGACUGAGUGGCGGACGGGUGAGUAACGCGUGGGUAACCUGCCUCCUAGAGGGGGACAACAGUUGGAAACGACUGCUAAUACCGCAUAGUAAGAAGAAUUCGCAUGUUUUCUUCUUCAAAGAUUUAUCGCUAUGAGAUGGACCCGCGUCUGAUUAGCUAGUUGGUAAGGUAACGGCUUACCAAGGCGACGAUCAGUAGCCGGCAUGAGAGAGUGAACAGCCACAUUGGGACUGAGACACGGCCCAAACUCCUACGGGAGGCAGCAGUGGGGAAUAUUGCGCAAUGGGGGAAAGCCUGAUGCAGCGACGCCGCGUGAGUGAAGAAGUAUUUCGGUAUGUAAAGCUCUAUCAGCAGGGAAGAUAAUGACGGUACCUGGCGAAGAAGCCCCGGCUAACUACGUG